Long non-coding RNA from Neopsephotus bourkii (Bourke's parrot), 2189 nucleotides. RefSeq lists it as uncharacterized. The record is from RefSeq and is a predicted model, not a curated record. Lineage: Eukaryota; Metazoa; Chordata; Aves; Psittaciformes; Psittacidae. The transcript has 5 exons.
UCUACGCUAGGUCGUUGUCUCUGUUAUGGGUCUGAUGCUGCUCUUACAGCUCCAGAGGGACUGGGGGAUGCUGAGAGCUCUAUGUGCUUAUCCAGACCAAGGAUGGAUGAUUCUUGCUGGUGGCAUUUCCAGGCUCCUGCCCUCACUGCAGUAUAACCCAGUGGACAACUUGCCCUGUGGUGUGCAGGGUAGACUGUCUGUUGUUUCAGCAGCAGCACUUGUUUCGAGGCAGGAUAAGGGGAACCAAAUGAGCUUGUCCCUCCUGUGUUGCUAUGUCUUUGGUUUCCAUUGUAAAAUGAAAUUGAUGCAAUUUGUGAGGAUGCCUCCAGGAAGCACCAGCCUUUGCAGUCACACAAUUGUGUAGAAACCUCAGCUUUUAUUCAUUUCCCCAUGCCUCAUCAGGAUGCUGAAAGCUUCAAGCACAAAGGAGCAGCGAGAUGGGUUUAUGGUUGUAUUAAAAAUCCAUGCUGCUCCAGAUGAACUUAUGGGCUCUUUUUUUCUUUCCCAGGGACAUGGGCUCAUGAAUGUUUAAUUCCUGAGCUCGGCAGCGCUGGCUGAAUUAGAAACAGAACAACUGAUUUUAAUGGGUGUAAGAUUAAUGCAGAUGAGCUUGGCUGAAACUGUGGUUCCAGAGGAAAGCUCCCUCCUCGGUGGGCUGUUGUGUUGCAAGCAUUACUGUAGCAGAACAUAUUCCAAUCACUGGGCAUUACCUAGGGCAGAAACACUCAUUAAACAGGGUCAUAAUGGAUGUUUUGGACAUUAGCUCUUUGCAGGUGCCCUGGGCCCUCAUCAUUUUUACAAGGUGGAUUUGGCUACCGAGUGUGUAAGUAGGGAAGAAGGAUGGUGUGGAUGGCUGUGAGGAACCUCCCUUAACUCUGGGCUAGCAUCCACUGGACGGGAAGGAGAAGACUUUGUGCUGUUGCAUGGAGCCACCACAGCUCCAAGCAAGGUCAUGGUGUACACCUGUGCCUACCCCUUGGUGGAGAACUAUUUGUUUGAUAUAGUGCUAUAUAAAUAGCAGAUACUGAUAUGAGAGAGCUGGUGCCCCACAACACCCUGGCACUGGGCAGAGCUCUCUUACUGCUAUAAACAACCUGUUGGUUAGCUCAAUGGCUUGCUUUCCUCUACAGCUGAAAUAUUUGUAUAGCGAGUGGUUUUAUUGCCUGAGCAGUAAGGAAGGAUGGGGGAGGCUGAGCUGAACUGAUUUAAUUUGAUUCCCUGCGUGACUGGCAGCUUUAUAUCUCUGUUUAUAUUUUAUAUGUUUCAAUCAGGUCGUGCUGGCAGAGAUCACAUCUCUGCAGGUUCUGCCUGCUUGGGCUGUUGAGUGGAUGCAGCAGGAGCAUUCAUGAGUGGUGUGUGAUGAACCGUAAACAACGAGGAGUGUCCCAGGGAAGGACUGGGUGACCAUGGAGGAGCAGGUUGACUGGCCAGCUUUACAGGGACCUCCUGCCCGACCACAGGAGAUGCUUUCCUCAGCUAAAUGACAGCCCCUGGUGUUGGGUUGGGAAAAGCUGCUGACUGCAGGGCUGGGAGCUCCUGUUUCAGGGAGAACAGGCUGCAAAUGAGCCAGGAAAACUUGUACUCUAGGACUUGAUCCUCUUGGGAUGUAUCCUGAAAUGGAUGGGAUGCUGGGCUGGGAUGUGAGACUGGGAGCCAGGAGGCUGACCCGCCUUCUGGGUUUUCCGUGUGUACAUCUUCCUCUUUCUGUGCCCAUCCAUGGAGUCCUAGGGGCAGCUUGGAGGUGUGACAUGAAGGUCCCUUUUUGCUACCUGCCUGCAUGGGAAACAGCUUCCUCAUGUGCAUCAGGAUGCUGUGACAGUGCAGGAGCUGGUUGUGUCCUCCAAGAUCCUGGAAAGUGCUGAAGAUAAAAGACCCAGGGAUCAAGUUGUAUGGGUACUGAGACAUCUCCCUGGCAACAGGAUUCCUGGAUCUCCAUCUGCGCCCAAACUGGAACCAGAUAUGGCCACACUGCAUCUGUGGUCCCCCUUUUUGACCUCCUUCCAUCUGCACAUCCUUGGUGUCCGGCCAAAGCCAUUGGACUGCAGAGGAGCUGUAGAGCAAGGCUCUGGCUUGUAUGGGAGGCAGAGGUGCCACCUUCAGCACAGAGAAGCAGAACCUGGAAGGCUUGGGAAUGGACCUUCCCUUGGAUGGAUACAUUGCACAGAAAACCGGACGUACCAUAGAAUAGU